This is a non-coding RNA of Aegilops tauschii subsp. strangulata, 4460 nucleotides long. The record is from RefSeq and is a predicted model, not a curated record. NCBI's taxonomy places the organism in Eukaryota, Viridiplantae, Streptophyta, Magnoliopsida, Poales, Poaceae.
GAAGCAUCACCAGCUUUGAAUAGAAUGGCAGAUCCUGAAAAACAUAUUAAUCUUACCGAGUCAAAGAUCUUGCCUGACUGGAUGAUAAGAGAAGGCAUGUUACAAAAGGAUACUCAUACUGGUGAUGACUCAGCGCUCAACGAAAGUACCCAGGACGCAUAUGCUAAGGCAUAUAGACAGGCACUUUACGAGGCUUAUUCAAGAGACACUCCAGCAGCAGCGAGAAGGGAAAAUGUAUAGCUGUGGAUGCCAGGACAAGGCACCAACCUUCUCCCACGAUCAGCGGACGUAAAACAUGAGGAUCAGUGCAAGUUGCGCACAUACUGGGUUGCAGACAGCAGGUAAAAAAUGUCGAAUGCUUGCUAGAAAGUGGUAUGUGUAUUUACCUUUUUGCACUGAUGUAGGUUAUAUGAGAGUUUACACAUCCAGAUUAUCCUGCUCCAGUUUGGUUUUUUUUUUUUGAAAACGAAGCAAAAGACUUGCCAUUUUCAUUGAUUAACAAGAAGAUAAUUGCCCGAUUAAUUGACGGAAAACCGGGCUAAAACCGAUACAUCACAACCCACAUGACAUGAGCACCACCGGCCAACCUGAUCACCGACAUGGAACAAGACACGACGGCACAUGCCAACGGUUGGCCACACGCGCAAGCAACCGACAGCUCCGACUUUGACGACGAGCAACACAAGGGAAAUAUGCAGGGCUUGCGCCGACCAUGCCCACCUCAAACGGCCACCGAGUGUCUGUCAUCAUCGUCACCACUGGACAUGCUCCAAAGCAGCUCCGACUUCAAAGCAACCCAGCAACCACGGAAGAGCACCUCGGACACGCCGGGAAGAACCGACUACCGAAGACCACGCCGCGACCCAAGCUCCUCUCAACGCCAACAUUGUUGCCAAACAGAAACUAACGCCCCGCCUCAGCCUCAGCAAACCACGCAGCGAAGAUACCGCCAUCGACGGCGAAGAUGCCAUCAUUCUCCAGACUCUCAGUCGUAGCGGCUCCGAGACGAUGCCCCCAAGGAGGAGAAAGACGCGAAGACGCCUCCAUCGCCUGAUCCAGCGGAUCUGAGGUUUCCCUCCGAAGCCCAAGCCGUGGGGAGAAGGUGGAGCACCUCCACGACGACGCUUCAAAGAAAGACCACGGCACUCGCGGGCGCCGCUGUCGCCGGCUUCGGUGAAGACCGGAGCAAGGAUUUCUCCCGGAGAUGUGCCGACCACCUGCCACCACCGACCGCCGCCCACGAACCACCACCCCUGCCGAGGCCGACUCCAAUCUAGCCACGAGACCCCUCGAUCCGCCGCGUCCAGAAGCGCUCCGCCCCCUGGCCGAAGCCGCCACCACCGAACCCGGGGCCGCCGCCCCGGCAACCACAGCCCACCACCGCUGACGACAUCACCACCAAAGGAGCCUGACCAGGCCCAUCGGUCCGGAGCCCACAUCACCAGAUCCAGAGGCAAGGGAGGGCCUGACCAGAUCGGAGACCUCGCUCCGGGCCUCGCUGCGAGAUGGCCGGCAGACAGAGAAGCUGACGGGAAGUCGCAGCCUCGCGCGACGCACGGUCCUCCACCGUCAGAUGUGGCCGGGGUCACAUCGAAGGAUGGGGAGGGGGGCGCCGCGGUCGCUAGGCCCCAACCACACCCCAAGGCACAGUUACGCCAACGCCGCGCAGCAGCCGCGCACCGCACCACCAGCUCGAGCCACCGCUAGGGGAAGCCGCCGUCGCAGUGGCUCCAGAUCCGCCACCGCCUCCUGCCGCCUUCGAACGAGAGGAAGAGGAAGGGGAAGACCCCGCCGCCGCUGUCCGCCGCCCGGGCUUAGCCCGGCAGCCUCCUCCGGCGACGGCGAGGGGAGGGAGGGGGGCGAGGGGGGCGGCCCGGCGGCACGGACGAGGGCCCAAACUGGGUUCAUCAAGCAGCGCUAGCAAGGUUCAUCUUCUUUGUAAAGCUGGUUGUCUCCUGAAAAAUGUGCAGUUAGCAAAAAAGGAAAAGAAAAAUAGAACUAGUUAUGCAUGCAUGAAGUUGCAAGCUUGGGCAUAGUCAGUCGAGUUUUUUGGACAAAGGAUCACACACCAAGCAUCCGCACGUACUAUCUAUCUCCUGCACGCACUUUGUCCUCUCAACAUUCCUAUACCUGAUUCCGAACCCAGUUUCCCAUGAGUCCAUAUUGUCAUACUCGUAUGCGUUCCCAGUGAAUUGAACCUACUGCCCACUUCAGGAUGCUUCUCUGUGUAUCCCCUCAUUGAGAAGUGCAUAUCUUUGUGUCAUGCAUCAUAUCAUCCAGCGACCAGCGUCCAUAGCUGACGUGCACGACAUCUAUUUUCCCAGCAACUAACACAAUUUCAUUAUAAUUCCAAUCUGGACUACUACAAUCAUCGCUACACGCAGUGACAAUUUUGAUGGGCGGGCUUCUAUGGGCUGAAGCCUGCCCUCAGAUACUGGGACCUUUUUACCGCUAAUGAUCGGUGUGCAAGGCAGGCCAAACCAAAAAAAAAAAAGAACCGGCUGCUUCCUAUAGCCAUGUAAACGCAUAACACGCCGCCUCCUUUGAUCAAGCCUGUCCAGGAGGGUGGCAGGCCAGGGAGGCCGCUGGGACAGGGUCCAUCCGUCCAGGAGGUAGGCUGGGAGCGCGGUCGGCCGACCGCUGGUCGCGACGCCGACGCGGCCAGCGUGCAAGAUAUCAAGCCGCUAACUUGCCAAGGUCGUUUUUGUUCUGACCAAGCUCAGUUCAGUAGCCCUGACUUCCUAAAUCAAGGGUGUAUAUUGAAUAAAUUGUACAAGAUGUACUAUGAAUUUCAGGUACAGAAAUUUUACAUAGUAUGGUAGCACACAAAACUUGGAGUUAAUUGCAUAAAACCACCACAUCUAGAGCUUCUUCUACAGAAAACCACCCGGUCCCUAAUCAUUUGCAAAAAGCACCGCACAUUCAGUAAACUUUUUGCAAAAAGCACUGAUCGCUCACUUUGCAGCGUCUGAGGGCGUUUCCGACAGGUGGGACCCAAAACAGGUGACGUGGCGUAACGGCUAGGCGGACGGCGCCGUUACUCACUACCUGGUCAAACCGAUGCCUCGGCUGGCCCGAUCGCACCAGCUCUCUCACUCUCUCGCCCGCCCUCCCUCUCUCCGUCCUUCGUGCUCCCACUCAUGGCGACGGCCAAAUCCCGCGACGGAGGCGCUGCUGAUGCUAGGUGCGGCGCUGAUGGAGAUCCGCCAGAGUUCCGUGGUGGCUCAAAUCCAUCUCAGUCGCAGCUUCCUCCCCAACUGUCGGAGGCAAACACAUCAGUUGAAUCCGUGGCGGCGACUGCGUUCGCCCGAGCUGUGAAGGAAGAUCCGACGGGCAGCCAGAACUGGGCAUCCGCGUUUGGCGGCGUUUGUUUGAAUGAUGAAGUCUGGGAAGUCAGAUUUCAUUUCUUUGAUAGAGAUAACUUGGAAAGAAAUAUAAGCCUGUCAGACAUAACUUUCUGGAAUCUAGUUGCACUUGUAGAGGUAGAAGGCUAUUCUUUCUGGAAUCCAGGUGUUUGGGUGUCAGGAAUGAUAGAGUUAACAGAUGAUGACAAGGUAGAGGAGAUGCUGGGUGAGCUAGCUAGUAAAGAAAAAAAAGUGGUUAAUGUUACAGUAAUGAGAAGUGAUGCUCCAACACCAGCUGAUUUGAACAGAUGCAAUGUGUAUGAAGACCAGGUUCCUUUGUCUGAAAUAGGUGUGACACUUGUGUAUGAGAUAGAUACAUCUGGAGUUCUUUUCCCUAGAACAAUGAAGCCACAGCCACAGCCAGUCCAGGUCAUGCACACACAUGAUAGCAUUGAACCAGAAUUUGUAGUGGACAAUGGUGAGGAGAGGCAUGAGUAUUUCGUGGACAUUGAUCAGGAGCAAGAGCAGAUAGAGCAAAAGCUAGAGGAGAAUAGGAAUAAAGAGAUUGAGAAGUUCAGGAGCAAUAAGAAAAGAAAAGAGAAAUAUAGAGCAGCUAAAAGGAAACUUCCAGAGUUGCUUGCUGAAGAUUGUACUGACAAUGAUACUGAUAGUGAGAUUCUAGUAGAUGAGAACAUAAUUGCUAGGCUAGAGGCAAUGAAGAGGCAUAGAGAUGAUCCACUCAACCACUUUGAAGAUGACACUGAUGUUGAAGAGCUAUAUGAACCAGACGAGGAGGAGGGAGUUGAUAAAGCAACAGAGAAGGAGGCAGCAGUGAAUAGCAGCAUAGGAGGAAGCAGUACAGGAGGCAGUCAGACAAAGGGGCCAACAACCAGAUCUCAUGCAAGUUUAGACCAAAUUAUAUAAGAGGACUGGUACCCUUCUGAUACGUCUCCAACGUAUCUAUAAUUUUUUAUUGUUCCAUGCUAUUAUAUUAUCCGUUUGGAUGUUUUAUAUGCAUUAAUAUGCUAUUUUAUAUGAUUUUGGGACUAACCUAUUAACCUAGAGCCCAGUGCCAGUUCCUGUUUUUUUUCUUAUUUUAUAGUUUCGCAGAAAAGG